UGAAAGUAUCGGUGGAUGUUGUAGUAGAUCAUGAUGCGAUGCUACCGGUACCUGACUUGGUCUCAGAGACGACAUUGCUGCGAGAUGCAAUAGGAUCAUUUGUUGCAUGGCCCUCGGAGCUCAUUGUCAUUAGUGAUGAGAUUGCUCCUAUAAAACCCGCAUAUAAGGGUAAAGGGAUUUUACAGGAGGAGGAGUCUGUUGCAUCACUAAAAGAGGCAUCCGCUCGGGAGUCACAACAAGUGACGCAGCAUGUUCGUACCGUACCAC
Molecule: long non-coding RNA, 267 nt
Organism: Vicia villosa (hairy vetch)
Lineage: Eukaryota; Viridiplantae; Streptophyta; Magnoliopsida; Fabales; Fabaceae
Exons: 3
Source: RefSeq, a predicted model, not a curated record